Molecule: transfer RNA, 91 nt
Filed under: Shewanella piezotolerans WP3
Lineage: Bacteria; Pseudomonadati; Pseudomonadota; Gammaproteobacteria; Alteromonadales; Shewanellaceae
Description: tRNA-Ser
Source: RNAcentral
AAUGCAGGCUCUAGCGGGAUAAACAUCAAUACGUAGUCUAAACUGGUUAAACCAUGAAGCUUUUGAUAAUCCUUAUUACUUAAACCUUUAA